GACGAACGCUGGCGGCGUGCUUAACACAUGCAAGUCGAACGGAAAGGCCCUGCUUUUGUGGGGUGCUCGAGUGGCGAACGGGUGAGUAACACGUGAGUAACCUGCCCUUGACUUUGGGAUAACUUCAGGAAACUGGGGCUAAUACCGGAUAGGAGCUCCUGCUGCAUGGUGGGGGUUGGAAAGUUUCGGCGGGUGGGGAUGGACUCGCGGCUUAUCAGCUUGUUGGUUGGGGAGUGGCUUACCAAGGCUUUGACGGGUAGCCGGCCUGAGAGGGUGACCGGCCACAUUGGGACUGAGAUACGGCCCAGACUCCUACGGGAGGCAGCAGUGGGGAAUAUUGCACAAUGGGCGGAAGCCUGAUGCAGCAACGCCGCGUGCGGGAUGACGGCCUUCGGGUUGUAAACCGCUUUCGCCUGUGACGAAGCGUGAGUGACGGUAAUGGGUAAAGAAGCACCGGCUAACUACGUG
This 468-nucleotide ribosomal RNA is filed under the name uncultured bacterium. RNAcentral describes it as "partial 16S ribosomal RNA". It matches the Rfam family "Bacterial small subunit ribosomal RNA", at positions 28 to 507 of the family's 1533-position model. The record is from RNAcentral.